GACGAACGCUGGCGGCGUGCCUAAUACAUGCAAGUAGAACGCACAGUUUAUACCGUAGCUUGCUACACCAUAGACUGUGAGUUGCGAACGGGUGAGUAACGCGUAGGUAACCUGCCUGGUAGCGGGGGAUAACUAUUGGAAACGUUAGCUAAUACCGCAUAAUAUUGAUUAUUGCAUGAUAAUUGAUUGAAAGAUGCUAUUGCAUCACUACCAGAUGGACCUGCGUUGUAUUAGCUAGUAGGUGAGGUAACGGCUCACCUAGGCGACGAUACAUAGCCGACCUGAGAGGGCGAUCGGCCACACUGGGACUGAGACACGGCCCAGACUCCUACGGGAGGCGGCAGUAGGGAAUCUUCGGCAAUGGACGAAAGUCUGACCGAGCAACGCCGCGUGAGUGAAGAAGGGUUUCGGAUCGUAAAGCUCUGUUGUAAGAGAAGAACGGGUGUGAGAGUGGAAAGUUCACACUGUGACGGUAUCUUACCAGAAAGGGACGGCUAACUACGUG
This 505-nucleotide ribosomal RNA is filed under the name uncultured bacterium. Its description in RNAcentral is "partial 16S ribosomal RNA". It matches the Rfam family "Bacterial small subunit ribosomal RNA", at positions 28 to 507 of the family's 1533-position model. The record is from RNAcentral.